This 253-nucleotide ribosomal RNA is filed under the name uncultured bacterium. RNAcentral describes it as "partial 16S ribosomal RNA". It matches the Rfam family "Bacterial small subunit ribosomal RNA", at positions 524 to 776 of the family's 1533-position model. The record is from RNAcentral.
UACGUAGGGUGCAAGCGUUAAUCGGAAUUACUGGGCGUAAAGCGUGCGCAGGCGGCUUUGCAAGACAGAUGUGAAAUCCCCGGGCUUAACCCGGGAACUGCAUUUGUGACUGCAUGGCUGGAGUGCGGCAGAGGGGGAUGGAAUUCCGCGUGUAGCAGUGAAAUGCGUAGAUAUGCGGAGGAACACCGAUGGCGAAGGCAAUCCCCUGGGCCUGCACUGACGCUCAUGCACGAAAGCGUGGGGAGCAAACAGG